This 228-nucleotide ribosomal RNA is filed under the name uncultured bacterium. RNAcentral describes it as "partial 16S ribosomal RNA". It matches the Rfam family "Bacterial small subunit ribosomal RNA", at positions 568 to 795 of the family's 1533-position model. The record is from RNAcentral.
UGCGUAGGCGGCGCGCUAAGUCAGUGGUGAAAGCCUCCCGCUAAACGGGAGAAAUGCCAUUGAUACUGGCGUGCUUGAGUACGGACGAGGUAGGCGGAAUUUAUGGUGUAGCGGUGAAAUGCAUAGAUACCAUAAAGAACACCGAUAGCGUAGGCAGCUUACUAGACCGUAACUGACGCUGAGGCACGAAAGCGUGGGGAGCGAACAGGAUUAGAUACCCUGGUAGUC